Long non-coding RNA from Sapajus apella (tufted capuchin), 1991 nucleotides. RefSeq lists it as uncharacterized. The record is from RefSeq and is a predicted model, not a curated record. The transcript has 3 exons. NCBI's taxonomy places the organism in Eukaryota, Metazoa, Chordata, Mammalia, Primates, Cebidae.
UCUGCACAUGUACCCCAGAACCUAAAAUGCAAUACCAUUAUAAAUAAUUAGUAAUAAGACAUUUGUUCAAAACAGAAAGAUGAACUAAUAGAACAGAAUAGAAAAUAAUAUAGAAACACAUACAGAUCAGCUGAUUUAUGGCAAAAGUGACAUCAAUGCAGUGAGAAAAGGUGGUGUUUUCAAUGAAUGAUGCAAGGUCAAGUGAAUGUCACAUAGGGAAAAAAUGUAUCUUGACUUCCAAUUCAUAUACCACACUGUACACAAAUAGUGCGUCUAGAGUGAUGGCACAACCAAUGUGCAUAACAACAAAGCCUUAAAAUGACAUUUGCAUGACCUUUGAUAGGCAGCAGUUCCCCCACCUCAGGUUCAGUAAUUCACUAGACAAACAGAACUCAGGAAAGUUAUACUCAUAGUUUGCUAUAUCAAAAGUAUAUCACAAGGUUAUAGAUUAAAUAGGAGGAAGCAUAUAGGGCAGGGUCCAGGAGAGGCCAGACACAGAGCUUCCAGCCGUCUUCUCCCAGUGGAGUUGCAUAGACAGUGCUUCUCCUAGCAAAGAUGUAAUGGAACUGUGUGGCAAUGGAACCAGGGAAGCUCAACCACACCUUGGUGUCCAUUGUUUUGUAGGGGCCGAAGGUGGGGUGGGGAGGGUAUCAAUGGCAUAAUUAUGGCUCACUUCUCACAUUGCUGACCUUGGAGCUACCAGUCUCUCCAAAGGUCAAUGUGAUACCACAUUACCCAAGGCCCCAACCAUAAAUUACAGUUUUAGCAUAGACUGGUGAUACAGUUUGGAUAUUUGUCUCUACCCAAAUCUCAUGUUGAAUUAUAAUCCUCAGUGCUGGAAAUGAGCCUGCUGGGAGGUGUGUAGGUCAUGGGGGCAGAUCCUCAUGGCUAGGUGCUGUCUUUGUGAUAGUUCUCACAAGAUCUGAUCAUUUAAAAGUGUGUGGCACUCUGUACCCCAACUUUUGCUUGCUCCUGCUUUCCCCAUCUGUUCACUCUUCUCCUUCCAUGAUUGAAAUCUCCCUGAGGCUUCACCAGAAGCUGAGCAGAUGUCAGCACCAUGCUUCCUGUAAAGCCUGCAGAAUCAUAAGCCAAUUAAACCUCUCAUCUUUAUAAAUCACCGAGUCUCAAUUAUUUCUUUAUAGCAGUGCAAGAAUGAACUAACAGCUGGCAUGGUCCAAGGCAUGCAGGUAAACAGAGAUACACUUAUGAAGCAGGACAUUCCAAGGGUUUCCAGAUUACUUGCCAGGGGUAAGGGCCAUAGCUUUCUUUGGACAAGCUCAGUGCUUUACUACAUGUAGGCAAAGACAAAAUACUCUAACAAUAAAUAUUUUUAAAAUGAGCAACUGGCCUGUAUUAACCUUUAUUCAUUAAAGGAAUGAUUAGGCAACUCAGAGCAAAAAAGUAUUUCCAAUACAUGUGUUUGACAAAGGACUGGUAUCCAUCCAGAUUAUAUAAAACACUCCUCAUGUAAAUUAAGAAACCCAGUUGGAGGGUCAGCAGGUAAACAACAGGUGAAAGAUUUUUAAAGGCACUUCAAAAAAGAAGAUACCAAGUCUCAACUUCUUUAGUUAUCAGCCUAAUGUAAAUUAAAACCAUACAUAAUACUACUGUGUACCUAGCAAAAUGGCUAAAAUGAAAUAGGUGGACAGUAACAGAGUUGGCAGAGAUGUAGAGUAAUCACAGCUCUCAUACACUGCUGGUGGGAGUCUGAAUUAGUGCAACCAUUUUGGACAACUGUUUGGCAGCAUUUACUAAAGAUGAACAUAUGCAUACCCCAUGGCUCAGCAAUUCCACUUCUAAGUGUAUACCCAUGAGAAAAUGCAUGCAUUUGUUUACCAACAGACAUAUAUUAGAAUGUCCAUAGAACACUUCAUAAUAGCAAAAAACUAAAGACUAUUCAAAUGUUCAUUAAUAAAGACAAUAAAUUUAAUAUUUACACAGUGGAAUACAAUACAAUGAAAUGGUCUACCACUAUAAAAAAUACGGAUGAA